This 331-nucleotide unclassified non-coding RNA is filed under the name soil metagenome. RNAcentral's name for it is "partial contains 5.8S ribosomal RNA, internal transcribed spacer 2, and large subunit ribosomal RNA". The stretch from base 1 to 120 matches the Rfam family "5.8S ribosomal RNA", at positions 35 to 154 of the family's 154-position model. The record is from RNAcentral.
GAUGAAGAACGUAGCGAAAUGCGAUAAGUAAUGUGAAUUGCAGAAUUCAGUGAAUCAUCGAAUCUUUGAACGCACAUUGCGCCCCCUGGUAUUCCGGGGGGCAUGCCUGUUCGAGCGUCAUUUCACCACUCAAGCCUCGCUUGGUAUUGGGCAACGCGGUCCGCCGCGUGCCUCAAAUCGACCGGCUGGGUCUUCUGUCCCCUAAGCGUUGUGGAAACUAUUCGCUAAAGGGUGUUCGGGAGGCUACGCCGUAAAACAACCCCAUUUCUAAGGUUGACCUCGGAUCAGGUAGGGAUUCCCGCUGAACUUAAGCAUAUCAAUAAGCGGAGGA